Molecule: long non-coding RNA, 3580 nt
Filed under: Hordeum vulgare
Lineage: Eukaryota; Viridiplantae; Streptophyta; Magnoliopsida; Poales; Poaceae
Description: long non-coding RNA (HVUL_LNC009612)
Source: RNAcentral
CCCUCGAUUUGAUCGUACACUAAUCAUACACGCAAAUGAGUACGACCAAGCUCAAGGACUCACGGGAAGAUAUCACAACACAACUCUAGACACAAAUAAAAACAUACAAGCUUCAUAUUACAAGCCAGGGGCCUCGAGGGCUAGAAUACAGAAGCUCGAUAAACACACGAGUCAGCGGAAGCAACAAAUAUCUGAGUACAGACAUGAACAUGAUAAUGCCUUAGAGAAGGCUAGCACAAAAGAUACAACGAUCGAACGAGGCGAGGCCUCCUGCCUCGGAACCUCCUAAGUACUCCUCGUCGUCAGCGCCCCCCUCGUAGUAGUAGGCACCGUCGGGGUAGCAGUCGUCGUCGGUGGGAUACGCCAUCCCCGGGCCUCCAUCAUCUGGCCGCAGCGACGGAUCAAGGGGAAAAUGGGGAGCAAAGCAAUGGUGAGUACUCAUCCAAAGUACUCACAAGACUGACAUCAGAACUAUGGUAAGUAUGCAUCAGUAUCAAAGGAAGGGGUUAUAUGUGGACUGACUGCAGCAAUGCGAGAAUAGAGAGAGAAGGCCUAGUCCUAUCGAAGACUGGCAUCUUCUGGACUCUUGUAGCAAUAGACGAGAGUAGAGCAAGCAACACAAAUAUAUAGUCAUAUUGUUGCAGCAAUAUUAAUUAAAGUCAAGCCCAGAGAUUCUCCCUCAACUCUGUGUGAGGAAGCAAUUCUGGAGCAAACAUUCCUGUUAAUUAAGUAACAUUUGUAGCUGUAUAAGAUAGGGGCACAACUCAAAGUCGUCCUCUUACCAUGGACACGGCUAUCCGAAUAGUUAAUUUCUUCCCUCCACGGGUGGACCAAGUUUCCCGUCACGCUUGAUAAACUCUAGUCGGACACACUUUCCUGGGUCAUGCCUGACCUUGCAACAUCAACACGUCGUAGCCCCACCUAGGCUCAACAGAGAGGACAACCCGCCGGUCUAAAUCCUAAGCACGCAGGGGUGAUGGGGCCAUCACCCUUUGUGCUCCUGCAUGAUGCGAGGGCGGCCGUUGUCAGUCCUGGCACCUCUUAUACAAGAACAAUGCUUAUCCGGGCCACUCGGGCGCGCGCCGCUCCAUUGCUGACGUCUGAAGAGCUUCGGCUGAUAUCACGACGUCGAGUACCCAUAACUUCUCCCAUGUAGACAGUUAGUGCAAAAAGGUCUCCGGCCAACCGAGAUCAAACACCCAAAUCCUUAGCAUUUUAAUUAAAUCAUCGACACAUCCACGCGGAAAUCCAUCCAUAACACAUCAUUCAUCAAUGUUCCCAGUAACAAGGCCAAGUAAUCGUGUGGCUAUAACAUCAGAGGGAUCCGAGGUAUCACCCUCCAUGGAUUCCGAACGAUGUAACCGUCAAGAUGGUCAGGGAGGAAUCACGCUCGAUGGACCACGCUUGAUGGGUUGUACGAGAGAGUCGUUAUCGAAGGUGGGGAAAGAGGAAUCACCCUCCGAGAACCACCCCCGGUCAAGUACACUACAACGCUAACAUCGGAGUACGUAACGAGGUGUCACCCUCGAUACUCGAUAGUAGCUCUGCAGCGUCGUACAACUAAGGGGGGUGUGAGUGAUGUCUCGUGUCUUGGCUCGUCGAUCAGUUGAUCGAGACUUGACGAUAAAGCAGGGGCAACUAGACUAAGGGGGCAAAGGGGAUCAAUGCUCCACCUAUACUAAACAGUUUUUAGGUGCAGCAAAAUAAUGUAGCAGUUUAUCAAAAACAGGCUAUGCAUCAGAUAGAGGAGCUAACUACAACAGUAGCAAAAUUGUAAUGCAAGCAUGAGGGAGAAAGAAUAAGCGAUAUAGGAAUGAUCAAAGGGGUUUGCUUGCCUGGUUGCUCUAGAGACAAAAACGGAUCCUCGACUGGGAAGUAGUCGAUCAUCGGAUCAUCAUUGGUAUCUGGGUCUAUCGGAAAGGAAGCAACGUAGGGGGAACACAAUAAUUAACAGAGCAAUCAAAGGCAUUACGAAGCAUGACAUAGUUAUAUGCUGCGCUAGGCAUGAGCUAACACAAUACUACACAUCAUGGAUGGAUCGGGAAAAUAUCUCACAAUAUUUCCCGGGUAUGUGGAUACUACCGGGCAGCGUAUCCGGGUUCGUCCCGUUUUUCUGAUCAACUUUCAUUAACAAAUUAUUUUCAUCCGGGUUUACGAAUUAUUUUAUGUUAAUUUUUAAAGCUUAAAUGAUUUUGUGAAUUUCCGGAAUUCUUUUGAUCCGAAAAUAAAACAACAAAAACUCUUGUUACCUAGUGUUACUUUAGUCGUGUGUGUGUGUGACGGUGGGGCCAUUGGGAUUGGGUUGACCAAGUCAAAUUGACUGGUCAAUAGAGGAUAUGUGGCCCACACGUAAUAAACACAUAGAUUAAAUAUGGAUCAAAUCAAAAUGAGUGAUCCACAUGAAAUAGGCCUAGACUAAUUAAUCCCUAAAUUAAUAUAGACUAAUCAGGCAAACUAAUGGAACCGACCACUAGCGGUGCUUACCAUGUCUCGGCUGUGCCAUGGCCAGUCACAAGGCCACGACAAAUAUGGCCAGAAGUAGCAACGCAUCACCAGCAGUUGGGAGUCCCAUCAGAUGGGAGUAGCAGAAGCAACAAGCGAACAACAACAACCACACGAAACAGCUACGGCAAGCGGCGGCGGCAGCGGCAGCAGCACACCGCAGUGCAACAACACACGGAAGCAGUACUAGCAAUAGCAGGUGGGCGACAGCGAGCGGCGGCGGACGGGCGGACGGCCGCACACGCUGGUUUGCAGUUGGUGCGUGGGAGCGCCAGCACCAGAGCAGCAAAAGGCGACAUCAGCCGAGCAAAGCAGCCGCGGCAGUAAGCAAUAAGCAGAGAAGCAGCCGCAAAGUAGCAACAACAGCGGCAGGCUACGAGCAGCAUCUCAGCACGGGGGCAGCGGGCUCGCAGUCGGACGCGGCCAGGCGCGACGAGGGGCGUGGGGGGCGGACAUGGCCGAGAGCAGGCUCGCGCGUGCAGUACGGAUGCGGGCAAGGACGAGUACAACCGACCUCGGGGACGGCGGCAAACGACGACGAAUCGAAGGGGGCGAGGGGGAAUCGGUAGAGGAGCUCACCGCGGGUCUGGUGACGUGUUUGGGGAGGCGCGGGGUGGACCGGAGAGAUAACAGCGACGGCGAGAUGGCGACGGCUGGACGAAGAAUAUAGCUCCCCGCCCUGCACCAAGGCUCGGAACGGAUGCGCACGAGCGCGGCGAAACUCCAGGGAGUGUGAGGCCGUUGGACGCGUCAACAAGGGAGAGGCAGCGGUGUCCGCGUGAGCUCGCGAGCUCGAAUUCGAACCAGAGGGGAGGGGGCUCGAUGGGGAAGGAGAGAGGAUCAGACGAGUGAGGGCUAGGAUUUUGGUUGGACACAAUUAUAGGCCACGGAGGAGGACGUGGAGGCCAUCCAUGGCCAUGGCGGCUGGAUGCUGCUACGCUUCACCCCUGCCUCGUGUAGCGUGAGGUAGGGGAAAGGCUGUUCGUGGACUGGGCUGCGAUGCAUUGUAGCACUAGAGCCCAAGUGCACAGUGCAUGUUUCCUCUUUUCUUUUUUCUUUUUAUUUGUUUUCUGUUUUG